UGAUGAGAAUUCUCCGGAAUCGCUGUACUUCAUUGAUGAUCCUUUGAACCCAUAAAACUGAUGAUUGUAGCUGCCCCCCUCACC
This is a small nucleolar RNA of Protobothrops mucrosquamatus (brown spotted pit viper), 84 nucleotides long. RefSeq annotates it as small nucleolar RNA MBII-202. The transcript has a single exon. The record is from RefSeq and is a predicted model, not a curated record. NCBI's taxonomy places the organism in Eukaryota, Metazoa, Chordata, Lepidosauria, Squamata, Viperidae.